AACGCGAAAAUGUGAAAUAAGUAAAUGCGAAGACCGAAGUAAACACAAGUAGGAGUUGUGAUUAACUUUAGCCAGAUUACGGAGAUGAUGGAUUGUUUCACGUAACCUAAAACUAAACGAGCGCGGUGCUAAAUGGUUAAGUAAAAACAAAAGCAAAAAGAAACCGUUAAUUAUUGAAGGAUCGGUAAGUGUAUAAAACUCGAACUUUAGUUUAAUGAAAUUGAUUGUUACUUUAGAGAACCCAUUACUGUUUAAAUUUCUGGGUGGAAAAGUUCAAUUCUUGUCCAUAAGACAUGGAAACAUUGGGUUGCGCUUGCGACCCAUGAGAAGAGCAAGGGAUGGCAAUUUAUGGCAUCAUAAUGUUGCAUAUCGGAGACAUCGUAGCACUACCUGGGAUACUGCCAUACUUUAUGUUAUUAUCGCGUGCCCGUAACGCGAAUGAGCCACUGAAUGGGCGACGAAACCUUCUGCUACUGCAGCCGAUCUACAGCCACCGAACUGUUUUAAGUUGAAGAACUCCACCAGCACUUGCUAAUAUUGUAGCGAUGAGAUGCCAAAAACAAUGUCCGGGCUAUCGUAUUGGAACAGGUGUUUAGUGACUACCUGAUUGGAUCUGGAGAAUACAUCUUUCGUUAUUGACAUCUACACAGAUUAUAAUACUAAUAUUGUAACCCAGUCUAAAUCUGUAAUCAUAAAAGAUCGUUGUAGGUACAUUUUAGAAUAAUAAAACUGACAUGGUCAUUAGGCAUUA
Molecule: long non-coding RNA, 751 nt
Organism: Photinus pyralis (common eastern firefly)
Lineage: Eukaryota; Metazoa; Arthropoda; Insecta; Coleoptera; Lampyridae
Exons: 2
Source: RefSeq, a predicted model, not a curated record